AAAAAUCAUAAAUGAGGUAAUUAACUAAUUAUCUUUCCAAAAAUCAUCAACAUAUUAAUUCAAACUUUGCAGCGGAUUAAAUUCAUUAACAUAAAUAAGUCUUUGGCACGCAGGCCUUAUUAAAAUAUACAUAAUACGUAAAGGAAUAGAAAAUAGCCACAAAAGAUCUCAUCCUGUUACGUAUCAGAGCAUCCUAAGACUCAGUGAGGAAUAAGUCACUCACGACAGCAACAGCAACAACCUAUUAACGAUCACCUGCAAGUUACUCAUAGGAAGAGCAACAUUUCCAAGCAGAAGGGGUGAGAUUUCACAAAACAAUAAUAUUAAGCAUAUAAUUCAACAAUUAUAUUUAAUCAACAUCAAAUCAUCUUAAUAUUCAUUAUAGAUAGUAAUAUAUCAUUUAGCACUUCAAUCAUAGUUUGCAUAAACAAUUACAACUUCACAACUUAUCAACAUAAACAUCCUUGACUCGAGAAAUGCGACUCCAACUCGACUAUGCAACUUAGACAUCUUAUAUGCAUGUGGUACCAAUACGGAGCAUCAAGCCCUUAUCGCUAUUUGAGUAUUAAUAUACUCCAGAGCAUCAAGCCCCUAUCGCUAUUUAAGUAUUAAUAUACUCCAGAGCAUCAAGCCCCUAUCGCUAUUUAAGUAUUAUUAUACUCCAGAGCAUCAAGCCCCCAACAAAGAAUGCUAAUGCAUGGACUCGACUUCUUAAACAUCUUAAAUCG
Molecule: long non-coding RNA, 728 nt
Filed under: Medicago truncatula (barrel medic)
Lineage: Eukaryota; Viridiplantae; Streptophyta; Magnoliopsida; Fabales; Fabaceae
Description: long non-coding RNA (MTRU_LNC001641)
Source: RNAcentral